UAGAUACUCCCUCCGUUCGGAAUUACUUGUCUCGGAAAUGGAUAUAUCUAGAACUUUUAGAUACAUCCAUUUUCGCGACAAGUAAUUCCGAACUGAGGGAGUAGAUA
Molecule: non-coding RNA, 107 nt
Organism: Triticum aestivum (bread wheat)
Lineage: Eukaryota; Viridiplantae; Streptophyta; Magnoliopsida; Poales; Poaceae
Source: Rfam